CAAAAGAAAUCCUCUUAAAAAGCCUAAAGAAAAAUUUUGGUAUCAACAGAGUAAUUGCUCAAAUUGGAAAUUCAUUCGUAUACGAUAUACAGGAAGCCAAGGAAAAAUUUAAAGAAUGGAUGGUUAUUGAAAUAUACCGAUUUAAACCUGACAUUAGAGAAGAUUUGCUAAAGGCAGAUUAUAUUAUAAGCCAUGCGGGUGCCGGAACAAGCCUGGAAGCCUUGCAUUUAAAAAAAAAACUUAUAGUGGUAGUCAACGAAGUUUUGAUGGGUAACCACCAGAUGGAACUGGCUACCGAACUUGCCGAAAGCAAACAUGCGAUCUUUGCCACUUGUAGCUUAUGAACCUCCUUUAAACACACCGUAAAGGGGUAGUUACCAAUCAACUAUAGCAGUUUCUAAGCACCUUCCUUUGGCCGUUCUCGAUUA
Molecule: long non-coding RNA, 428 nt
Organism: Zophobas morio
Lineage: Eukaryota; Metazoa; Arthropoda; Insecta; Coleoptera; Tenebrionidae
Exons: 4
Source: RefSeq, a predicted model, not a curated record